UGCCUUAGGCAUGCAAGUCAAGGGGGCCCGCAAGGGCAACCGGCGGAAGGGUGAGUAACGCGUGGGAACGUACCCAUUGGUGGAGAAUAGCUCGCCGAAAGGCGGGGUAAUUCUGCAUAACCUCGUAAGAGAAAAGGGCUUAACCGCCCGCCGAUGGAGCGGCCUACGUCCUAUCAGCUUGUUGGUGAGGUAAAUGCUUACCAAGGCGAUGACGGGUAGCUGGACUGAGAGGUCGGCCAGCCACAAGGGAACUGAGACACGGUCCCUACACCUACGGGUGGCAGCAACCGGGAAUUUUGGACAAUGGGCGAAAGCCUGAUCCAGCGACGCCGCAUGGGGGAAGAAGGCCUUCGGGUUGUAAACUCC
This 366-nucleotide ribosomal RNA is filed under the name uncultured organism. Its description in RNAcentral is "bacterial SSU rRNA". It matches the Rfam family "Bacterial small subunit ribosomal RNA", at positions 45 to 433 of the family's 1533-position model. The record is from RNAcentral.